AGCCUGCCCACUGAAUUUUUUUUAAAUGGCCGCAGUAUACUAACUGUGCAAAGGUAGCAUAAUCAUUAGUCUUUUAAUUGAAGGCUGGUAUGAAUGGUUGGACGAGAUAUUAACUGUUUCAUAUAAAUUUUUAUUAGAAUUUUAUUUUUUAGUUAAAAAGCUAAAAUUUAUUUAAAAGACGAGAAGACCCUAUAAAUCUUUAUAUUUAGUUAAUUAUAAUUUUUUAGAUAAAUUUUGUAAUAAUUAAUUAUGAUAUUUUAUUGGGGUGAUAUUAAAAUUUGAUAAACUUUUAAUUUUUAAAUUCAUUAAUUUAUGAAUAAUUGAUCCGUUAUUAACGAUUAAAAAAACAAGUUACUUUAGGGAUAACAGCGUAAUUUUUUUGGAGAGUUCAUAUCGAUAAAAAAGAUUGCGACCUCGAUGUUGGAUUAAGAGAUAAGUUUAGGUGUAGCCGCUUAAAUUUUAAGUCUGUUCGACUUUUAAAUUCUUACAUGAUCUGAGUUCAAACCGGCGUAAGCCAGGUUGGUUUCUAUCUUUAAAAA
RNAcentral lists this ribosomal RNA (539 nucleotides) under Cordylobia anthropophaga (tumbu fly). RNAcentral's name for it is "partial small subunit ribosomal RNA". It matches the Rfam family "Bacterial large subunit ribosomal RNA", at positions 1902 to 2650 of the family's 2925-position model. The record is from RNAcentral. Lineage: Eukaryota; Metazoa; Arthropoda; Insecta; Diptera; Calliphoridae.